AGGGACCAGUCAUGAAAGCUGGUCAUUCAUUGUACCAUUCAUCAUUGGACUGGUUUGUGGAAUUUCGCUAAUUGUUCUUGUGCUUCUGCUGGUGAAGUGCUACAGAAAGGAUGCAUGCAGUAACAGUCUCUCUCAGUCUCUGAACAUCAACCAAGGCUCUGCUACACAGCAAACAGUGAACCAGAAUGAAACUCAAGUUUACUCCUCUCUUCUCCAUGGUCAGCCUUUCCAAUCAUUCUUUUCACAACUAUUUCUAACACCCACUUUGACUUUUCAAUCAAAAGCUCAAGUGA
This is a long non-coding RNA of Mugil cephalus (flathead mullet), 293 nucleotides long. RefSeq lists it as uncharacterized. Lineage: Eukaryota; Metazoa; Chordata; Actinopteri; Mugiliformes; Mugilidae. The transcript has 3 exons. The record is from RefSeq and is a predicted model, not a curated record.